CCUAUGGGGUGCAGCAGGCGCGAAACCUCCGCAAUGUGAGAAAUCGCGACGGGGGGAUCCCAAGUGCCAUUCUUAACGGGAUGGCUUUUCUUAAGUGUAAAAAGCUUUUGGAAUAAGAGCUGGGCAAGACCGGUGCCAGCCGCCGCGGUAACACCGGCAGCUCUAGUGGUAGCUGUUUUUAUUGGGCCUAAAGCGUUCGUAGCCGGUUUGAUAAGUCACUGGUGAAAUCCUGUAGCUUAACUGUGGGAAUUGCUGGUGAUACUGUUGAACUUGAGGUCGGGAGAGGUUAGCGGUACUCCCAGGGUAGAGGUGAAAUCCUGUAAUCCUGGGAGGACCACCUGUGGCGAAGGCGGCUAACUGGAACGAACCUGACGGUGAGGGACGAAAGCUAGGGGCGCGAACCGGAUUAGAUACCCCCGUAGUCC
This 425-nucleotide ribosomal RNA is filed under the name uncultured Methanobrevibacter sp. RNAcentral describes it as "bacterial SSU rRNA". It matches the Rfam family "Archaeal small subunit ribosomal RNA", at positions 322 to 747 of the family's 1478-position model. The record is from RNAcentral. Lineage: Archaea; Methanobacteriati; Methanobacteriota; Methanobacteria; Methanobacteriales; Methanobacteriaceae.